UACGGAGGGUGCAAGCGUUAUCCGGAAUCAUUGGGUUUAAAGGGUCCGUAGGCGGAUAAAUAAGUCAGAGGUGAAAUCCUGCAGCUCAACUGUAGAACUGCCUUUGAUACUGUUUAUCUUGAGUUAUUGUGAAGUGGUUAGAAUAUGUAGUGUAGCGGUGAAAUGCAUAGAUAUUACAUAGAAUACCGAUUGCGAAGGCAGAUCACUAACAAUAUACUGACGCUGAUGGACGAAAGCGUGGGGAGCGAACAGG
RNAcentral lists this ribosomal RNA (253 nucleotides) under uncultured bacterium. RNAcentral's name for it is "partial 16S ribosomal RNA". It matches the Rfam family "Bacterial small subunit ribosomal RNA", at positions 524 to 776 of the family's 1533-position model. The record is from RNAcentral.